Molecule: ribosomal RNA, 508 nt
Filed under: uncultured bacterium
Lineage: Bacteria
Description: partial 16S ribosomal RNA
Rfam family: Bacterial small subunit ribosomal RNA
Source: RNAcentral
AUUGAACGCUGGCGGCAGGCCUAACACAUGCAGGUCGAGCGGCAGCGGGAAAGUAGCUUGCUACUUUUGCCGGCGAGCGGCGGACGGGUGAGUAAUGCCUGGGGAUCUGCCCAGUCGAGGGGGAUAACUACUGGAACGGGUGGCUAUUACCGCAUAGGCCCUACGGGGGAAAGCGGGGGACCUCCGGCCCUGGCGCGAUGGGAGGAACCCAGGGGGGUUUAGUUGGUUGGGGAGGUAAUGGCUCACCAAGGCGACGACCCCUAGCUGGGCUGGGAGGAUGAUCAGCCACACUGGAACUGAGACACGGUCCAGACUCCUACGGGAGGCAGCAGUGGGGAAUAUUGCACAAUGGGGGAAACCCUGAUGCAGCCAUGCCGCGUGUGUGAAGAAGGCCUUCGGGUUGUAAAGCACUUUCAGCGAGGAGGAAAGGUUGGUAGCUAAUAACUGCCAGCUGUGACGUUACUCGCAGAAGAAGCACCGGCUAACUCCGUGCCAGCCGCCGCAGUAA